GGAUGCGAUCAUACCAGCACUAAAGCACCGGAUCCCAUCAAAACUCCAAAGUUAAGCGUGCUUGGGCGAGAGUAGUACUAGGAUGGGUGACCUCCUGGGAAGUCCACGUGUUGCAUUCC
RNAcentral lists this ribosomal RNA (119 nucleotides) under Triticum dicoccoides. Lineage: Eukaryota; Viridiplantae; Streptophyta; Magnoliopsida; Poales; Poaceae. The record is from RNAcentral.